Molecule: ribosomal RNA, 253 nt
Filed under: uncultured bacterium
Lineage: Bacteria
Description: partial 16S ribosomal RNA
Rfam family: Bacterial small subunit ribosomal RNA
Source: RNAcentral
UACGGGGGGGGCAAGCGUUGUUCGGAAUUACUGGGCGUAAAGGGUUCGUAGGUGGCCAACUAAGUCAGACGUGAAAUCCCUCGGCUCAACCGGGGAACUGCGUCUGAUACUGGUUGGCUUGAGUGCAGGAGAGGAACGCGGAAUUCCAGGUGUAGCAGUGAAAUGCGUAGAGAUGUGGAGGAACACCGAUGGCGAAGGCAGCCCCCUGGGCUAACACUGACGCUCAUGCACGAAAGCGUGGGGAGCAAACAGG